Long non-coding RNA from Lemur catta (Ring-tailed lemur), 1042 nucleotides. RefSeq lists it as uncharacterized. The transcript is spliced from 2 exons. Lineage: Eukaryota; Metazoa; Chordata; Mammalia; Primates; Lemuridae. The record is from RefSeq and is a predicted model, not a curated record.
CCUCAUCGGGGGUGCUUGGCCCAGGGCCGGGGAAAGAGUGCCAGGGCACCAGGGAGGUGCCUCCUGGGACGCUCCUUGGCAUCGCCCUGUGCCGGUCCGGGCUCUGGGCACUCUGAGUCACUCUCUCCUGCACGAUUUUAUUAGCUCCUCUUGGGUCUCCCUCCUCCCUGGCCUUGCAUCUCCAUGAGCCUUCCAGCUCCUCUGCGACCCACUUGCCCUUACAGCCUCAGGGCCACCUCCCUUGCCCGGGCCCUCGCUGCCCGCUGCACUCAGCGUCCCUCCUGCUCUGAGGCUUUGUUUCUGCGGUUCGGGUCCCGUCACCUCUGCAUGUGCAAACCUUAUUCCCCCAGGUCACCUGGAAGCGAUCGCUUCCUCUUCUGAACCUACCGCACCCCCCUGUGGCCUGGCCCUUCCCUUUAUUCACCCAUCCCGGUGUUCACUGAGCACCUACUAUGUGCGCAAGGUGCUGGGCACACGCUGGUGGUCGGCACCGGCAUCUCGGCCCUGCUGGAGCGAAGGUGCCGCCGCUGAGGGGGGCCUAAAAGGAAGCAGGCGCUACAACAGAACCGCAGGCUGCGAAGCCACUGCUGUCCACUCCCCAGUGGCCACAGGCGACUCUCAAGGUUACAAAACUGCUUCAAGGCUAUGUGUCAGAGAGCAUGCAAGGAGCACAUAGAAAGUGUCCCUGCUGUCAACCUAGUACACGGGGAUACUGCCUUAAAGAAGCCUUCAGCGGGGACAAAGUUCCUGUAGAUGUCUGCACUUUGGUUUCCUCCUGCUGCCUCCUUCUGUUGCUCACAUUUUGAGUUUGGGGUCUUUGCUGUUGGGACCCUUAAGAGGCAGCAUUCUCCUCCCCUUGUGCUCACGUCCCCAUCUGUCCUCCUACUGCCCCUGCGGGUCCCCCAGUGAGGCCUUCCCUGACCCCGCUCCAAUCAAAACCAGGUUCCCCUGGAUUCUCCCUCCCAUCGAUCUGUUUUUAACUUCCUGUAUAGCACUUCUUACAAGUUAUCAUUUUUAAUAAAUCGUGAGGCCUCUUUCCAGA